GAUGAACGCUGGCGGCGUGCCUAAUACAUGCAAGUCGAGCGAACAGACGAGGAGCUUGCUCCUCUGACGUUAGCGGCGGACGAGUGAGUAACAAGUGGAUAACCUACCUAUAAGACUGGGAUAACUACGGGAAACCGGAGCGAAUAACGGAUAAUAUAUUGAACCGCAUGGUUCAAUAGUGAAAGACGGUUUUGCUGUCACUUAUAGAUGGAUCCGCGCCGCAUUAGCUAGUUGGUAAGGUAACGGCUUACCAAGGCAACGAUGCGUAGCCGACCUGAGAGGAGGAUCGGCCACACUGGAACUACUACACGGUGCAGCAUACUACGGGAGGCAGCAGUAGGGAGUCUUCCGCAAUGGGCGGAAGACUGACGGAGCAACGCCGCGUGAGUAAUGAAGGUCUUCGGAGCGUAAAACUCUGUUAUUAGGGAAGAACAAAUGUGUAAGUAACUAUGCACGUCUUGACGGUACCUAAUCAGAAAGCCACGGCUAACUACGUG
RNAcentral lists this ribosomal RNA (497 nucleotides) under uncultured bacterium. RNAcentral's name for it is "partial 16S ribosomal RNA". It matches the Rfam family "Bacterial small subunit ribosomal RNA", at positions 28 to 507 of the family's 1533-position model. The record is from RNAcentral.